GCGGGGAAUGUGCGUAGCUAACCAUACGAAGACAUCAGCAUUAGCCCAUAGGAAGUCUAAAAAUUUGGUUUGAGAGGCUUUGUCCUGUUGUGCUCUAAUCUGGAUUGAUUUGUUUCAGUCAGAUUCGUGCAGAGGGACCAAGAUGAGCUGCUUUAUCGACUCCUCAUGUUGCUACUUUCGCUCAUCACAAGCAUUGAAACCUUUAAUAGGUAGAGUCUCCUUUAACUUCUUAUCCUUGAGGGUUGCAAUAU
RNAcentral lists this long non-coding RNA (251 nucleotides) under Elaeis guineensis (African oil palm). RNAcentral describes it as "long non-coding RNA (EGUI_LNC032377)". The record is from RNAcentral. Lineage: Eukaryota; Viridiplantae; Streptophyta; Magnoliopsida; Arecales; Arecaceae.